RNAcentral lists this RNase P RNA (334 nucleotides) under Ruminococcus flavefaciens. Its description in RNAcentral is "Bacterial RNase P class A". It matches the Rfam family "Bacterial RNase P class A". From Rfam's summary of the family: Ribonuclease P (RNase P) is a ubiquitous endoribonuclease, found in archaea, bacteria and eukarya as well as chloroplasts and mitochondria. Its best characterised activity is the generation of mature 5'-ends of tRNAs by cleaving the 5'-leader elements of precursor-tRNAs. Cellular RNase Ps are ribonucleoproteins. The record is from RNAcentral. Lineage: Bacteria; Bacillati; Bacillota; Clostridia; Eubacteriales; Oscillospiraceae.
GACUACGCGGCAGCGGAAACGUUUUAGUUUAUGAGGAAAGUCCGGGCAUCACAGAGCAGGGUAGCUGAUAACGUCAGCCGAGGGCGACCUUAGGGCAAGUGCAACAGAGAUAUACCGCCGCUUUCAGCGGUAAGGGUGGAAAGGCGAGGCAAGAGCUCACCAGUGUGCAGGAGACUGCACAGCUAUGUAAACCCUACCCGAUGCAACGUCUAUUGGUACUGCGUAUCUUAACGUCGGCUCGGCGGAUACGCAGUAAUGACGGCUUGAGCUUAUCGGCGACGAUGAGCGUAGAUAAAUUGCCGCGCACGACAGAACCCGGCUUAUCGGUCUGGUC